UUUUUCUUGUUCACAAAAAAAUUCCCUGUAAAUCUGAAAUAUAUAUAUGUACAUACAUAUAUAUUUUUGGAAAAUGGAGCUAUGGUGUAAAAGCAACAGGUGGAUCAACCCAGUUGUUACUCUCUUAACAUCUGCAUUUGAGAGAUCAGCUAAUACUUCUCUCAACAAAAAUGGAAGGGCAGAUGCUAGAAUCCCCCCUAGACGGAGGAAAACCAUUUUAUUCAGUGAAUUACACAUCCUCUUGUUCUUAAAAAAGCAAGUGUCUUUGGUGUUGGAGGACAAAAUCCCCUACCAUUUUCACGUUGUGCUACUAAGAGAUCUCAAAUAUUAGUCUUUGUCCGGACCCUUCCAUAGUACACCUUAGCGCUGAGACUGAGCCAGCUUGGGGGUCAGGUAGGUAGACCCUGUUAGGGACAGAGCCUAGUGGUAAAUCCAAGAGAAAUGAUCCUAUCCAAAGCUGAUUCACAAACCCACGCUCACCUGACAGCCGAGGGACACGAGCAUCACUCUGCUGGACGGACCAUUAGGGGCCUUGCCAAGGUCUACCUUAGAGCAAACCCAGUACCUCAGACAGGAAAGUCGGGGCUUUGACCACUACCAUAUCUGGUAGCCCAUUUUCUAGGCAUUGUGAAUAGGUAGGUAGCUAGUCACACUUUUCAGACCAAUUCAAACUGUCUAUGCACAAAAUUCCCGUGGGCCUAGAUGGAGAUAAUUUUUUUUUCUUCUCAGCUUUAUGAAGAGAAGGGAAACUGUCUAGGAUUCAGCUGAACCACCAGGAACCUGGCAACAUCACGAUUUAAGCUAAGGUUGGGAGGCUAACGAGUCUACCUCCCUCUUUGUAAAUCAAAGAAUUGUUUAAAAUGGGAUUGUCAAUCCUUUAAAUAAAGAUGAACUUGGUUUCAAGCCAAAUGUGAAUUUAUUUGGGUUGGUAGCAGAGCAGCAGCACCUUCAAAUUCUCAGCCAAAGCAGAUGUUUUUGCCCUUUCUGCUUCACUGCAUGGAUACAGUUGGUAAAAUGUAAUAAUAUGGCAGAAUUUUAUAGGAAACUUCCUAGGGAGGUAAAUUAUGGGAAGAUUAAGAAAGGUACAAAUUGCUGAGGAGAAGCAGGAAACCUGUUUCCUUAGUGGCUUUUAUCCCCUCGGCAUGCGAUGGGGCUGAUGUUUCUAUGAUUGCCUCAGACUUUCACAUUUACUAGUAGGGCUGAGAGAGGCUUUAGUGAGGAAGGAAUAUUCAGAAUAAAACGGUUGAGAAAGCUGAGAAGACCAUUGAGUUUUGAUCAGUUGUGAAUAGAGUGCAAAGCCAUGGCCAAGCUGUUUUUGGAAACGCUGGCCGGCGUGUCUUCAGUGGAAAAAGCAAAUCAAAAUGGAGCGAGAGCAAAGGGGCGUCCUCAGUCCUCAACCUACAAUCACUGUAUGGAAUCGGUCCUGGCAGCUGAACAUAGGAGGUCACUGGAACAAGUGAUAGUGCAGAUUGGCUUUCAAACAUCCUCCUGGCUUGAGUUUUAUCAGCUACAAUGUGGGUCCUCUUUUGAAGCCUUAAUUCACAACAGCAGCUUUUUGGGGGUGGGGCUGGGCGGGUGUUGUCAUUGUUCUUUCCCUUCCUGUAAGUGUCGCUAGUUGCUGCCUCGUAUCUCAGGUUUUUCUCUGUUUUUGAGAAAUGGACAGUUUUUUGACCAGGAUGUGACUUCAUGUUUCCUAUGGUGACUUCUAAAACCAGCACAGAAUGAUAUGACUCAACACAGACCGACUUGGUUAUGGGGAUGAUGAGCCGCACAGACCUCACUAGUUGUGCACAAAUAAUGUGCUAUGAUGGGGUGUAAAGUGAAGGCAGAAGAGGGUCAGCCGCAUUGUUAUGAUACUGGGAAAGUGCUGGUCAACGAUUUGAGUUAGUUUUUAGAUAUACAUUGAAAUCUUUAAUCAGACAUUCUCAAGUUUCACACAGUAGUUUUUGAUGUUAUGUACACACACACCAAAUGUGUAACAGUUCACCACUUCCAGAGUGUGGUCAUGCCCAAAACAUGUUUAAGAAAGGAAAGCAGUAGCUCCUUGCUAACGAUGUUUCAGGAGGUUUGGGGGACUUGGUUUUAAUGAGCUUCUGUCAUUUAGGGCUUCUCUUGGCCAUGGUCCCCCUUCCUUCUGGAACUGUGAUGUAGUCACAUCCUACAGCCUUUAGUGCUGGUUCACUAGUGUCAGAUAAUCAGUUCUUGGAAUCGAGACUGCCGUGGCGAAGGGGUGGCCUCGGAGGCAGGCUCUGGAGCUGCUUGGAUGUCUUUAGGUGGGGUGGUGGCUGGCUCUCUUCAGCAUGUAAUUGGGGAAACCCUCGCGUCUACUAGGGGUGAUACAGAUGGUGAUUUUAAAGAGCAAAACUAGACUUCUAUGUGAGAAGUGCUGGAAAAUGAUUUAGGACAUGUGUAAAGUUAGAUGGAAAGACUGUAAAUGUUUAAUAUGAAUAUAGUGUUCUUUUGAAGUAAGGCCAGCUGUUGAACGGUUAAACUGUGCAUUUCUCAUUUUGAUGUGUCAUGUAUGUUAAUGUAUGAAAUGAUUAAAUAAAAUCAAAACUGGUACCUGUUUAUACAU
This 2575-nucleotide long non-coding RNA is filed under the name Homo sapiens (human). Its description in RNAcentral is "non-protein coding lnc-MANSC1-3:1". Lineage: Eukaryota; Metazoa; Chordata; Mammalia; Primates; Hominidae. The record is from RNAcentral.